GAUCGGGGUCGAGGGAGAGGGGGUUUAAUUAACCUGAACCCAAUAGGGUCGGCUCUGAGCCGGGCCAAAUGUCUGCUCGAGCCCAACCCGAUGAAAUGGGCUCUAUUUUUUUGGCUAGAGCCUGACCUGAAUAGUUUGGGGCCGGUGUCUGAAGCCCGACCUGAUGGGCCGAGUCUGAAUCCCGAUGGACCUCCUGGCGGCCCGAUGCACUUCCAACCUUAUCUACGGGACUGCCUCUACGAUGCUGCUUUUGGUGAUUUAGAAGAUGAGGGAGAG
RNAcentral lists this long non-coding RNA (276 nucleotides) under Elaeis guineensis (African oil palm). RNAcentral's name for it is "long non-coding RNA (EGUI_LNC075331)". The record is from RNAcentral. Lineage: Eukaryota; Viridiplantae; Streptophyta; Magnoliopsida; Arecales; Arecaceae.